Long non-coding RNA from Siniperca chuatsi (mandarin fish), 437 nucleotides. RefSeq lists it as uncharacterized. The transcript has 3 exons. The record is from RefSeq and is a predicted model, not a curated record. NCBI's taxonomy places the organism in Eukaryota, Metazoa, Chordata, Actinopteri, Centrarchiformes, Sinipercidae.
CCAACGUUCAAUCACACCGCCUUCUGUUGUGUGGGCCGGAGCCCCAGUCUCCUGUGAUCGUCGUCGUGUCCAGUAGAUUCACUGCAGAGAAAGAACAAAACAACAGAGGAAAACAGAAGUGAAGCCCAAAUCUCUCUCUCUCUGCAUCCCACCUCCACCUUCAUGGACAGCUUUUUGUUUGUGUUGCUUUAACCUAAUUGUAACCCAGUGACAGCGAGCUAAAAAACAGCUUCACAAAAGAAGUCACAAGACAGAUGGAUUGAAACAAGCCUUCUCUUCAGAGUACUGACUGACCUUCAUGACACCUUGAUGAGAACUAGCUCUAAAGGCAGAGGGUCCUGUAGCUCCAACAAAACAUUCUGCAGCAGUGAAGAGGUUAAAGCCUUCGUUUGGCAGUGGAGGCGGGUGGAGGGACCAAGUGCUUCUCCUCGAGGACU